UUAUACGAGAGUUUGAUCCUGGCUCAGGACGAACGCUGGCGGCGUGCCUAAUACAUGCAAGUCGAGCGGAUGAAAGAGAGCUUGCUCUCUGGAAUCAGCGGCGGACGGGUGAGUAAC
This 117-nucleotide ribosomal RNA is filed under the name Bacillus sp. (in: firmicutes). RNAcentral describes it as "Bacillus sp. (in: Bacteria) partial 16S ribosomal RNA". It matches the Rfam family "Bacterial small subunit ribosomal RNA", at positions 1 to 114 of the family's 1533-position model. Lineage: Bacteria; Bacillati; Bacillota; Bacilli; Caryophanales; Bacillaceae. The record is from RNAcentral.